UACGUAGGGUGCGAGCGUUGUCCGGAUUUAUUGGGCGUAAAGGGCUCGUAGGCGGCGUGUCGCGUCGGGAGUGAAAGCCCGUUGCUUAACGACGGGUUGGCUUUCGGUACGGUCAUGCUGGAGUGCGGCAGGGGAGACUGGAAUUCCUGGUGUAGCGGUGAAAUGCGCAGAUAUCAGGAGGAACACCGGUGGCGAAGGCGGGUCUCUGGGCCGAUACUGACGCUGAGGAGCGAAAGCGUGGGGAGCGAACAGG
This 253-nucleotide ribosomal RNA is filed under the name uncultured bacterium. RNAcentral describes it as "partial 16S ribosomal RNA". It matches the Rfam family "Bacterial small subunit ribosomal RNA", at positions 524 to 776 of the family's 1533-position model. The record is from RNAcentral.